Molecule: ribosomal RNA, 460 nt
Filed under: uncultured bacterium
Lineage: Bacteria
Description: partial 16S ribosomal RNA
Rfam family: Bacterial small subunit ribosomal RNA
Source: RNAcentral
CCUACGGGUGGCAGCAGUGAGGAAUAUUGGUCAAUGGACGAGAGUCUGAACCAGCCAAGUAGCGUGAAGGAUGACUGCCCUAUGGGUUGUAAACUUCUUUUAUAUGGGAAUAAAAUGUUCCACGUGUGGGAUUUUGUAUGUACCAUAUGAAUAAGGAUCGGCUAACUCCGUGCCAGCAGCCGCGGUAAUACGGAGGAUCCGAGCGUUAUCCGGAUUUAUUGGGUUUAAAGGGAGCGUAGGUGGAUUGUUAAGUCAGUUGUGAAAGUUUGCGGCUCAACCGUAAAAUUGCAGUUGAAACUGGCAGUCUUGAGUACAGUAGAGGUGGGCGGAAUUCGUGGUGUAGCGGUGAAAUGCUUAGAUAUCACGAAGAACUCCGAUUGCGAAGGCAGUUCACUGGACUGCAACUGACACUGAGGCUCGAAAGUGUGGGUAUCAAACAGGAUUAGAUUCCCUAGUAGUC